UACGUAGGGGGCAAGCGUUGUCCGGAUUUAUUGGGCGUAAAGAGCGUGUAGGCGGCCAUGCAGGUCAGCUGUGAAAACUCGAUGGCUCAACCUCGAGAUGUCGGUUGAAACCGUAUGGCUAGAGUCCGGAAGAGGAGAGUGGAAUUCCCGGUGUAGCGGUGAAAUGCGCAGAUAUCGGGAAGAACACCCGUGGCGAAGGCGGCUCUCUGGGACGGUACUGACGCUGAGACGCGAAAGCUAGGGGAGCAAAUGGG
RNAcentral lists this ribosomal RNA (254 nucleotides) under uncultured bacterium. Its description in RNAcentral is "partial 16S ribosomal RNA". It matches the Rfam family "Bacterial small subunit ribosomal RNA", at positions 524 to 776 of the family's 1533-position model. The record is from RNAcentral.